GGGGAAUAUUGGACAAUGGGCGAAAGCCUGAUCCAGCAAUACCGCGUGAGUGAUGACGGUCUUCGGAUUGUAAAACUCUUUUAGUAGGGAAGAUAAUGACGGUACCUACAGAAAAAGCACCGGCAAACUUCGUGCCAGCAGCCGCGGUAAUACGAAGGGUGCUAGCGUUGUUCGGAAUCACUGGGCGUAAAGCGUACGUAGGCUGUUUAGUAAGUCGAUUGUGAAAGCCCCAGGCUUAACUUGGGAAUUGCAACCGAAACUACUUUGCUAGAAUAUGGUGGGGGAUAGUGGAAUUCCUAGUGUAGGGGUGAAAUCCGUAGAUAUUAGGAGGAAUACCGGUGGCGAAAGCGACUAUCUAUGCCAUUAUUGACGCUAAGGUACGAAAGCGUGGGGAGCAAAC
Molecule: ribosomal RNA, 400 nt
Filed under: uncultured bacterium
Lineage: Bacteria
Description: bacterial SSU rRNA
Rfam family: Bacterial small subunit ribosomal RNA
Source: RNAcentral